AAUCUUCCACAAUGGACGAAAGUCUGAUGGAGCAACGCCGCGUGAGCGAAGAAGGUUUUCGGAUCGUAAAGCUCUGUUGCGAGGGAAGAACAGGUACGGGAGUAACUGCCCGUACCUUGACGGUCUCUCGUCAGAAAGCCACGGCUAACUACGUGCCAGCAGCCGCGGUAAUACGGAGGUGGCAAGCGUUGUCCGGAAUUAUUGGGCGCAAAGCGCGGGCAGGCGGUCCUUUAAGACUGGUGUGAAAGCCCACGGCUCAACCGUGGAGGGUCAUUGGAAACUGGAGGACUUGAGUACAGAAGAGGAAAGCGGAAUUCCACGUGUAGCGGUGAAAUGCGUAGAGAUGUGGAGGAACACCAGUGGCGAAGGCGGCUUUCUGGUCUGUAACUGACGCUGAGGCGCGAAAGCGUGGGGAGCAAACA
Molecule: ribosomal RNA, 422 nt
Filed under: uncultured bacterium
Lineage: Bacteria
Description: partial 16S ribosomal RNA
Rfam family: Bacterial small subunit ribosomal RNA
Source: RNAcentral